UUCCAUUCGGAUUAAAAGGGAAUCGGGUGAAAAUCCCGAACAGUCCCGCUGCUGUAAAACUCCGCUCUACUUUCCGAUAAAGACAAUUGCCACUGGAGGUCAUCCCCUUAAAGGGAGGACACCGGGAAGGUAUCGGAAAUUAAGGAGUCAGUCAGAAGACCUGCCGUUCAUUAA
Molecule: non-coding RNA, 174 nt
Filed under: Parabacteroides timonensis
Lineage: Bacteria; Pseudomonadati; Bacteroidota; Bacteroidia; Bacteroidales; Tannerellaceae
Source: RNAcentral